ACUCGACCCCCCCCUCAAAUAAAGGCCAAAGUAGACUGUUCCGCACACACACACACUCCUGUUACGUCACGCAUGUAACCAGAGCUGCGGUUUUUAAAGUGACUUCCUGUUUUUAAUCCAGCAAACUUUUUCUACAGAUAUAAGUAGGACGUUGAUGUGUUUUGCUCUUUUUGUGGUUGCAGAAGAUGUCCAUCACUUAUUCUGCAACCUCGUGCUCUCCUCUCUCCGGGUGAAAUCCGAUGAAUUGGGCUGUUCCAGUUGAUCGAGAUCAGGAUGUGGUCAGAAGGGACGCGAGCAGGUGUCGCCGCGGCGUGGACGGGAGGGACAGAGAAGAAGAAACCUCCUGUCGUCUGUUCAUGGCACAUGUGCGAUAUCCACAUAACCCCACCAAUGAAGAAGAAACUACACGUACAAUACAUUUUAAACUAUAUACGGCUGUGAUGUUUUUUAUUUGUAAAAGACAUUUAAAAAAAAAAAAGUUAUAAAUGUAUUUUUUGACAGGUCUGAUUUGCAAAGGAGAAGCACUUCCCUAGUUACAUGGCAACAAAAUGCUUAAUUGUCAGCCCUGGCUUCUGAUUGGUUAAAUGGUUUAAUACAACUACUCCUUGACCAUGUUUAUGUUCCUAUGCACGGUUUUGUAUUUGAAGAAGACAUUUUUACAGUUAACAUUUCAGCCGGACUUCUGAGUUUUGUUGAAACCCCACAGUCCACGAGGACUCUACCGUGUGCAUUU
Long non-coding RNA from Hippoglossus stenolepis (Pacific halibut), 733 nucleotides. RefSeq lists it as uncharacterized. The record is from RefSeq and is a predicted model, not a curated record. The transcript is spliced from 3 exons. Lineage: Eukaryota; Metazoa; Chordata; Actinopteri; Pleuronectiformes; Pleuronectidae.